RNAcentral lists this ribosomal RNA (434 nucleotides) under uncultured Lachnospiraceae bacterium. RNAcentral's name for it is "partial 16S ribosomal RNA". It matches the Rfam family "Bacterial small subunit ribosomal RNA", at positions 341 to 792 of the family's 1533-position model. Lineage: Bacteria; Bacillati; Bacillota; Clostridia; Lachnospirales; Lachnospiraceae. The record is from RNAcentral.
ACGGGAGGCAGCAGUGGGGAAUAUUGCACAAUGGGGGAAACCCUGAUGCAGCGACGCCGCGUGAGUGAAGAAGUAUUUCGGUAUGUAAAGCUCUAUCAGCAAGGAAGAAAAUGACGGUACUUGACUAAGAAGCUCCGGCUAAAUACGUGCCAGCAGCCGCGGUAAUACGUAUGGAGCAAGCGUUAUCCGGAUUUACUGGGUGUAAAGGGAGCGUAGACGGCAAAGCAAGUCUGAAGUGAAAUCCCGGGGCUCAACCCCGGAACUGCUUUGGAAACUGUUUAGCUAGAGUGCAGGAGAGGUAAGCGGAAUUCCUAGUGUAGCGGUGAAAUGCGUAGAUAUUAGGAGGAACACCAGUGGCGAAGGCGGCUUACUGGACUGUAACUGACGUUGAGGCUCGAAAGCGUGGGGAGCAAGCAGGAUUAGAUACCCUGGUA